This 253-nucleotide ribosomal RNA is filed under the name uncultured bacterium. Its description in RNAcentral is "partial 16S ribosomal RNA". It matches the Rfam family "Bacterial small subunit ribosomal RNA", at positions 524 to 776 of the family's 1533-position model. The record is from RNAcentral.
UACGGAGGGAGCUAGCGUUGUUCGGAAUUACUGGGCGUAAAGCGUACGUAGGCGGUUAUUCAAGUCAGAGGUGAAAGCCCGGGGCUCAACCCCGGAACUGCCUUUGAAACUAGGUAGCUAGAAUCUUGGAGAGGUCAGUGGAAUUCCGAGUGUAGAGGUGAAAUUCGUAGAUAUUCGGAAGAACACCAGUGGCGAAGGCGACUGACUGGACAAGUAUUGACGCUGAGGUGCGAAAGCGUGGGGAGCAAACAGG